This 247-nucleotide ribosomal RNA is filed under the name uncultured Actinomycetales bacterium. RNAcentral's name for it is "partial 16S ribosomal RNA". It matches the Rfam family "Bacterial small subunit ribosomal RNA", at positions 86 to 334 of the family's 1533-position model. Lineage: Bacteria; Bacillati; Actinomycetota; Actinomycetes; Actinomycetales. The record is from RNAcentral.
GGUGCUCGAGUGGCGAACGGGUGAGUAACACGUGAGUAACCUGCCCUUGACUUUGGGAUAACUUCAGGAAACUGGGGCUAAUACCGGAUAGGAGUUCCUGCUGCAUGGUGGGGGUUGGAAAGUUUCGGCGGUUGGGGAUGGACUCGCGGCUUAUCAGCUUGUUGGUGGGGUAGUGGCUUACCAAGGCUUUGACGGGUAGCCGGCCUGAGAGGGUGACCGGCCACAUUGGGACUGAGAUACGGCCCAG